GUAAUAGCUCACUAGUCGAGAGGUCCUGCGCCGAAAAUGUCCGGGGCUAAAACACGACACCGAAGCUUAGGAAUGUAGAAAUACAUUGGUAGAGGAGCAUUGUUAGCGCAGCGAAGCUGUACCGAUAAGGAGCAGUGGAGUGCUAAGAAGAGAGAAUGCCGGAAUGAGUAGCGAGAGGAAGGUGAGAAUCCUUCCGGCCGAAUAUCCAAGGUUUCCAGAGUAAAGCUGAUCUGCUCUGGGUAAGUCGGGGCCUAAGGCGAGGUCGAAAGACGUAGUCGAUGGAUAACAGGUGGAGAUUCCUGUACUAUGUGUACCCAGAACUGUGGGGACGCAUGUGGAGAGCACGAGCCGGGAAAGAGAAGACCGGUACAAGCGGGGUAGGAGUAAGGACAGCAAAUCUUCCUUACAAUCCGAAGACGUAAUGUGGACCGAACCAAAGUAGGGAAGCGUGUGAGCCAUGUGCCAAGAAAAGCCGCUAUUGUGAUACACAUACCCGUACCGUAAACCGACACAGGUGGAUGAGGAGAGAAUCCUAAGGCCGACGGAAGAAGCAUUGUUAAGGAACUCGGCAAAAUGACCCCGUAACUUCGGGAGAAGGGGUGCUCCAGAGAUGGAGCCGCAGAGAACUGGCCCAAGCAACUGUUUAGCAAAAACACAGGUCUAUGCAAAACCGAAAGGUGAGGUAUAUGGGCUGACGCCUGCCCGGUGCUGGAAGGUUAAGAGGAGAGGUUAGCGCAAGCGAAGCUUUGAAUUUAAGCCCCAGUAAACGGCGGCCGUAACUAUAACGGUCCUAAGGUAGCGAAAUUCCUUGUCGGGUAAGUUCCGACCCGCACGAAAGGCGUAAUGAUUUGAGCACUGUCUCGACAAUGCAUCCGGUGAAAUUGAAGUACCAGUGAAGAUGCUGGUUACCUGCGCCAGGACGGAAAGACCCCAUGGAGCUUUACUCUAGCUUGAUACUGGGGUUCGGUAUUGCAUGUACAGGAUAGGUGGGAGACUGAGAAGAUGUGUCGCCAGAUGCAUCAGAGUCGAUGUUGGGAUACCACCCCUGCAGUACUGGGCUUCUAACCUGCAGCCGUGACCCGGCUGGGGGACAAUGUCUGGUGGGGAGUUUGACUGGGGCGGUCGCCUCCGAAAGAGUAUCGGAGGCGCUCAAAGGUUCCCUCAGAAUGGUUGGAAACCAUUCGAAGAGCGCAAAGGCAGAAGGGAGCUUGACUGCGACACCGACGGGUGGAGCAGGUACGAAAGUAGGACUUAGUGAUCCGGUGGUAUAAAGUGGGAUUGCCAUCGCUCAACGGAUAAAAGCUACCCUGGGGAUAACAGGCUUAUCACUCCCAAGAGUUCACAUCGACGGAGUGGUUUGGCACCUCGAUGUCGGCUCAUCGCAUCCUGGGGCUGUAGUAGGUCCCAAGGGUUGGGCUGUUCGCCCAUUAAAGCGGUACGCGAGCUGGGUUCAGAACGUCGUGAGACAGUUCGGUCCCUAUCCGGCGUGGGCGUAGGAUAUCUGAGAGGAGCUGUCCUUAGUACGAGAGGACCGGGAUGGACUGACCUCUGGUGCACCGGUUGCAUUGCCAAAUGCAUAGCCGGGUAGCCAAGUCGGGACGGGAUAAACGCUGAAGGCAUCUAAGCGUGAAGCCCCCCUCAAGAUGAGAUAUCCCAUAACAUAAGUUAGUAAGACCCCUUGAAGACGACGAGGUAGAUAGGCAGAAGGUGGAAGUGUGGUGACAUAUGGAGCUGAUCUGUACUAAUAGGUCGAGGGCUUAACCAA
This 1765-nucleotide ribosomal RNA is filed under the name human gut metagenome. RNAcentral describes it as "bacterial LSU rRNA". It matches the Rfam family "Bacterial large subunit ribosomal RNA", at positions 1134 to 2925 of the family's 2925-position model. The record is from RNAcentral.